UUCUUAUUGGAUGAUGAUUGUCACGUGUCAUGUUCUGAUUGAAUGUCAACUCCAUGAAAGAUGAAAUGAAUUGUUGUUUUUAUUGACCAAUAUUAAUCAGAACAUGACACGUGACCGUCAUCAUCC
Glycine soja is the source of this 126-nucleotide non-coding RNA. The record is from Rfam. Lineage: Eukaryota; Viridiplantae; Streptophyta; Magnoliopsida; Fabales; Fabaceae.